GUCGUGAGAUGUUGGGUUAAGUCCCGCAACGAGCGCAACCCUUGCCUUUAGUUGCCAUCAUUAAGUUGGGCACUCUAAAGGGACUGCCCGUGUCAAACGGGAGGAAGGCGGGGAUGACGUCAAGUCCUCAUGGCCCUUAUGUCCGGGGCUACACACGUGCUACAAUGGGCGGUACAAAGGGUAGCAAACCCGCGAGGGGGAGCCAAUCCCAAAAAGCCGCUCUCAGUUCGGAUUGGAGUCUGCAACUCGACUCCAUGAAGGCGGAAUCGCUAGUAAUCGCGGAUCAGCAUGCCGCGGUGAAUACGUUCCCGGGCCUUGUACACACCGCCCGUCACACCAUGGAAGCCAGCUGUACCGGAAGUCGGUGAUGGAACCCGCAAGGGACCUAGCCGCCGAUGGUAUGACUGGUGACUGGGGUGAAGUCGUAACAAGGUAGCCGUAGGGGAACCUGCGGCUGGAUCACCUCCUUUCUAAGGAGCUCCUGCCCGAAAGGGUUGGGACACCUAGGUCAAUCCGCGUGCAAAAAGGGGUGUGCGGUUCACUGUGGCUCGCUACUAUUUAGUUCUGAGGGACUGACGCGUUGGAUCCACGUCAGUCGCGACCGCGCGGCUGACCGUGGGCCUAUAGCUCAGCUGGCUAGAGCGCACCCCUGAUAAGGGUGAGGUCGGUAGUUCGAUCCUACCUAGGCCCAUUUAAUAUGAGGCGGUGCAUGGGGCUGUAGCUCAGCUGGGAGAGCACCGGCUUUGCAAGCCGGGGGUCGUGGGUUCGAUGCCCAUCAGCUCCACUGGCAUUCAGCUGACUCGCCUAAGGGAUCUCGCCGAGGUCCUUUAGGGAAGUGAGCUUCGUGCUUGCUUUCGAAGCGGGCCGUGCCCCCAUGGGCAUCGUCAGGCUCUUUGACAACUGAAUAGUGUGUACGGGUAGCCGGCGAGUGCAAGCGCAUGGAUGCUCUUGCAUUAUGGUCAAGCUACUAAGAGCACACGGUGGAUGCCUAGGCGCGAGAAGGCGAUGAAGGACGUGGCUAGCUGCGAUAAGCCCCGGGGAGCCGCUAAGCAGGCUUUGAUCCGAGGAUUU
RNAcentral lists this small RNA (1071 nucleotides) under uncultured Pelobacter sp. RNAcentral's name for it is "bacterial SSU rRNA". The stretch from base 1 to 470 matches the Rfam family "Bacterial small subunit ribosomal RNA", at positions 1064 to 1533 of the family's 1533-position model. The record is from RNAcentral. Lineage: Bacteria; Pseudomonadati; Thermodesulfobacteriota; Desulfuromonadia; Desulfuromonadales; Desulfuromonadaceae.